Molecule: long non-coding RNA, 2457 nt
Filed under: Canis lupus dingo (dingo)
Lineage: Eukaryota; Metazoa; Chordata; Mammalia; Carnivora; Canidae
Description: lncRNA (ENSCAFG00020017522.1)
Source: RNAcentral
AUGCUCAGAGUGGCGCGCUUGGUCUUGGUUUGCUGCCCGCGACAACAAACUGGCAAAGACAUGGAGGUCACCAUGGCAGGCCUUUGGGGGCUUGUGGUCAGAGUGCAGCAACUUUUCUCACAGAGCCCCCAAGGGUCUGGUCUGGACUGGAGCCCUGCCGCCUUGCAGGCCCUGCUUCAGGCAUGGACCAGGGCAUCUGAAGGCUCGUUGGCAUGUUUUGACGACGUUCUGGAUAUUCCUGAGUUCCUGAGUGUGUCCAUUCAAGAAAUGACCAAGUACUUGGACUUCUUUAAAUGGACUUUGAGGAACCCAGAUUCCAGAGAGUUUUCCCAACUUGUGGCGUAUUUACAGGGUCGAGCCACACACAUAGUGCAGGUGAUGAGCAGGUACGUGGACCAAGAUCGAGAUCCCAUUUUCCGGAAUGGCCUGAGAGUCUUGAUCCAGCAGCUGGACCAGUCUUCACGGUUCUUGAGUGCAGCUGCUGAGUGCUGUUCAGGUGGGCACGGCACUCGGGGUACAGAUGCAUUUCUAACCAUGGCAAAACACCUGAUCCAUUCAGCCCAGAGCAUCCAAGAGGGGCUGGAUGGGACUAACCACCCAGAUAUCCUUAGCCCUCUUCGAAACCAAGUCCAAAGGUUUGACACUACUAAGGGACCACCUUAUUUUAUUCUCCCCAGCCUUCUGGACUCUACAGCUCCUGCACUGAAACACCAGGGGGAACCUGUGCUGGAGAAAAGCAACCCAGGCACCUCCUAUCCACCGAGGAACAAUCUUUCCUACCUCUUGAUUCCUGACAUCCAUCCCCAGAUGGGGCACACUCCACACCCAGGCAUCAGCAAACUCAUCCUUGCUGUAGAGAGCAAGAGCCACCAGGCACUGACCUCAGCUAGCACUAACUUGCAGGAGCAGGAUGCAGACAUGGAUGUACCUCCAGAGGCUCUGGGGUCAGAGAAGAUGCCUGGACUCCAAGAAAUCCCAACAUCAGCACCUUCUGGUAUUGACCUAACAAGGGAGAUAACACACUGCACAACUGCUAGACCUGAUGGGCUUCUGAAAGUGGCUCUCCAGCUGUCUGGGAGGCCCCAGGAAACUGGGCAGAGUUUGGUGGCCAGGGCUGGUGACUGGUACCCUCUGUGCCAACAGCUAUUUUGUCACAACCCAGCAGCUGAUCUUCCAGGGAACAUGGCAGUUUUCAUAGAGCUGCAGCAGAAUUUAGCCUCAGUGGUUCAACUAGCAGCCAAAAGUGGGCCUCUGGAUUUAGGGAAGGACCUUAAUUCAACUGGGCGUCCAGAAGCACUUUUACAAAUGCAAGGCAGAUUGGAGGAGGUGGAGACCCAUGGCAAACAGCUAUUGGACAAGAUUCUGGCUUCUGAUGGCCUCCAAGCCCCUAAGUCAUGGGAGGAGAGCAUUAAGGAUGAAUGCCUUCUAUGGUCAGUGGCUGUCCAAGACCUACUCCAGUGCAUGGAGAGACUCAGCAGGAGACAAGGCCUGUUCUUGCUGCCCCUGAGACAAGCCAUGAAGGAGCAGCAGGGACUGCAGGAAGGGUUGGCCCAGGCAGCAGAUGUUUCUCAGAGGCUACAAGAGGCUGCCAGGCUGUCUAGCCUCCUAUGCAGAGAUGUGCAGGUUAAAGGUGAGGUCUCCUUUUUGUGCAGGGAAAUUCAUGUGCUCACAGAUGCUCUGCUGGAUGUGGCAGUGAUCCUGGCCUCUUCCCCAAAACCAUCUCCCAGCCUGUCCACACGCUUUGAACUUCUCUACUUAGAGCUCUCCUUUCGAACCAAGGCCCUGACUGGUCACCUGAGCAUCAUUAAUGCAGACUAUGAACAUGCCUUCCAAGAUGCCUUCUGUCCAAGGCUCUCUGUCUCUAGAGAACCUCAGACCAGACGAGAAAGCUCCCUGGAAAGAAUGGUGUCUGGUAUCCUCGCUGCACAGAGAAUUGUGGCAGGAAGUCAGGAGUAUGGGACCUGCCAAGAAGACCUUUUAAUGGCUCUGGAGAGCAUUCUUGUCCUCACCAAGGAGGUGGCCCAGAGGAUCCCAGUGCUCCAAGAUUGCCCAGAGGAGUGGAGAAUGCACAUCCUGGACUGGCUUCAGUGGGAGUGGGCAGCCAGGGCCCAUCAUGCCAUGGCCCAGGUCCAGGCCUGGAAAGGUGGUUACACCGAGGCCUGGAGACUCCUGGCCCAGUGCCUAAAGCCCAGUGAGGAGAUGGCAGUGAUGAAACCCAGGGGUGAACAGGACUCUGCCCAUCCCCAGCUCUGCUGUGAGGAGGGUGCAUCAGAAGCUGUUGCAGUGAACAGAGUGGAGUCUCAGGGUGCUGCCCCCCAAAACACCCCAGGGAGCUCAGUGGGGACCUAUGCCGCUGAUCCAGCCAUCACUGGGACAGUCGAGGCAGACCUAGACACGGUAGGGCUGUCAGCAUCUUUCCUCCUCCCCCACCACAGCCCUCUUUUUUUAUUUUUUUAA